RNAcentral lists this ribosomal RNA (206 nucleotides) under Clostridium botulinum. Its description in RNAcentral is "partial 16S ribosomal RNA". It matches the Rfam family "Bacterial small subunit ribosomal RNA", at positions 383 to 606 of the family's 1533-position model. The record is from RNAcentral. Lineage: Bacteria; Bacillati; Bacillota; Clostridia; Eubacteriales; Clostridiaceae.
CUGACGCAGCAACGCCGCGUGGGUGAUGAAGGUCUUCGGAUUGUAAAGCCCUGUUUUCUGGGACGAUAAUGACGGUACCAGAGGAGGAAGCCACGGCUAACUACGUGCCAGCAGCCGCGGUAAUACGUAGGUGGCGAGCGUUGUCCGGAUUUACUGGGCGUAAAGGGUGCGUAGGCGGAUGUUUAAGUGGGAUGUGAAAUCCCCGG